Molecule: long non-coding RNA, 940 nt
Organism: Lolium perenne
Lineage: Eukaryota; Viridiplantae; Streptophyta; Magnoliopsida; Poales; Poaceae
Source: RefSeq, a predicted model, not a curated record
CGGAUGGAAAGUGUUUUCCCAACCGUAAGCCUCCGGCGCUACACCUCCGCCACCUCCUACUGCUCUCCUGCUCCGCCUCGGUUUCCUCAUGCUCCCCACCUACUCUCAGAACGCUACUGGCGGCCACUGAUGCGGCGCUUUUCCGCGGCGGAGGCAAAUCUGGAUAGGAUGCCCAGAGGGACGCGCUGUGUGGCUUGGUCGCUCUUCGCCACUCCUACGGUGGCCUCGCCUGCUCACCCUGCGCGAUUCCUCCGGCAUGGUCCAGGAUCAUGUCUUGUACCAGCUUGUAUGUUCCAUGUGGUUCUGAAUGGCUUGAUUCGAGGCUUCUCUCUCUGCUCCGCAUUCCACUAUGAGAUAGCAACAGACGCGAUAUACGCAUCUCUGAUUGCAUGCAUAUCUGCCGCUGCAUCUCUUGUCAAUGUUCGGUCUCGGGGCUGUUGCUUUGAGCAGGAUAUGCCAAGCCUGAAGACAGAGACCAAACACUGCUGGAUUCUGCUAGUAACGUUAUCAUGUUGUUCAAUGUGCAGCCAGAUUGUUGGGUCAGCUAUCUCCAAGGUUCUAUCUGGAAGAACAUCCUCGGCAAACUUAUGCAGAUCUAGUGAAUUCCUGAACGUCUCGUCUGUUGGGCUCCUUCCGGUAAAAAUCUCGAGCAGCAAUAUGCCAAGACUGUAAAUAUCACCAGUAGACUUUUCCAGAGAUGUCGACCACCGGUCAGAAGUGGAUGCUAAAGGAAGAGAUAUAUGGAUCGGCCGUUAAAAUGGCAAAUAUGGUAAGAUGGUAAGUUGAUAAGUGUAAUCAUGUUUCCCUUUGUAGAAUGAUGGAUCCAUAAGUACUCUGGCCGCCCACCAUUUUGAGAAGUUGGCAUGCUUAGACCUCAAACUAAGAGACCUUGACCAUCCAUCUGCAAUGCCUGCUAAAAUAGAGGGAUAUGGAUUGGACA